RNAcentral lists this ribosomal RNA (465 nucleotides) under uncultured bacterium. RNAcentral's name for it is "partial 16S ribosomal RNA". It matches the Rfam family "Bacterial small subunit ribosomal RNA", at positions 28 to 507 of the family's 1533-position model. The record is from RNAcentral.
GAUGAACGCUGGCGGCGUGCUUAACACAUGCAAGUCGAACGGAAAGGCCCAAGCUUGCUUGGGUACUCGAGUGGCGAACGGGUGAGUAACACGUGGGUGAUCUGCCCUGCACUUCGGGAUAAGCCUGGGAAACUGGGUCUAAUACCGGAUAGGACCACAUUUUGGAUGGUGUGGUGGAAAGUUUUUCGGUGUGGGAUGAGCUCGCGGCCUAUCAGCUUGUUGGUGGGGUAAUGGCCUACCAAGGCGUCGACGGGUAGCCGGCCUGAGAGGGUGUACGGCCAUAUUGGGACUGAGAUACGGCCCAGACUCCUACGGGAGGCAGCAGUGGGGAAUAUUGCACAAUGGGCGCAAGCCUGAUGCAGCGACGCCGCGUGGGGGAUGACGGCCUUCGGGUUGUAAACUCCUUUCGCUAGGGACGAAGCGCAAGUGACGGUACCUGGAGAAGAAGCACCGGCUAACUACGUG